This 863-nucleotide ribosomal RNA is filed under the name Escherichia coli. RNAcentral describes it as "partial 23S ribosomal RNA". It matches the Rfam family "Bacterial large subunit ribosomal RNA", at positions 404 to 1268 of the family's 2925-position model. The record is from RNAcentral. Lineage: Bacteria; Pseudomonadati; Pseudomonadota; Gammaproteobacteria; Enterobacterales; Enterobacteriaceae.
CUCGAUGAGUAGGGCGGGACACGUGGUAUCCUGUCUGAAUAUGGGGGGACCAUCCUCCAAGGCUAAAUACUCCUGACUGACCGAUAGUGAACCAGUACCGUGAGGGAAAGGCGAAAAGAACCCCGGCGAGGGGAGUGAAAAAGAACCUGAAACCGUGUACGUACAAGCAGUGGGAGCCUCUUUAUGGGGUGACUGCGUACCUUUUGUAUAAUGGGUCAGCGACUUAUAUUCUGUAGCAAGGUUAACCGAAUAGGGGAGCCGAAGGGAAACCGAGUCUUAACUGGGCGUUAAGUUGCAGGGUAUAGACCCGAAACCCGGUGAUCUAGCCAUGGGCAGGUUGAAGGUUGGGUAACACUAACUGGAGGACCGAACCGACUAAUGUUGAAAAAUUAGCGGAUGACUUGUGGCUGGGGGUGAAAGGCCAAUCAAACCGGGAGAUAGCUGGUUCUCCCCGAAAGCUAUUUAGGUAGCGCCUCGUGAAUUCAUCUCCGGGGGUAGAGCACUGUUUCGGCAAGGGGGUCAUCCCGACUUACCAACCCGAUGCAAACUGCGAAUACCGGAGAAUGUUAUCACGGGAGACACACGGCGGGUGCUAACGUCCGUCGUGAAGAGGGAAACAACCCAGACCGCCAGCUAAGGUCCCAAAGUCAUGGUUAAGUGGGAAACGAUGUGGGAAGGCCCAGACAGCCAGGAUGUUGGCUUAGAAGCAGCCAUCAUUUAAAGAAAGCGUAAUAGCUCACUGGUCGAGUCGGCCUGCGCGGAAGAUGUAACGGGGCUAAACCAUGCACCGAAGCUGCGGCAGCGACACUAUGUGUUGUUGGGUAGGGGAGCGUUCUGUAAGCCUGCGAAGGUGUACUGUGAGG